Molecule: long non-coding RNA, 2957 nt
Filed under: Homo sapiens (human)
Lineage: Eukaryota; Metazoa; Chordata; Mammalia; Primates; Hominidae
Description: non-protein coding LINC00472:3
Source: RNAcentral
AGCCAAUUGGGGUCUUUGAGGCGAAUGCGAGGCUGGGGCCGGUUGCCUACCGGCCGCUUCUCGCCGAGGCAGUCCAGACUUUUCCCCCGGCGGUGCCCGCUCCAAGACAGCAUCUGUCAACGCUCCUCUUCUCCCCUCCUCCUCCUGCCGGGCCGGGCUCCGCCGGCUGCGGCCGAGAGGACGCGGGACCCGGCGCGGUGAGCCCAUCAGCUGUCAGGCGAGCGGCGAAGCGGCUGGAGGGCGGCGAGAGACACACAAAGAACGCGGUGGGCGGCGGCGGCGAAAGGGGACGGCAACUCCUCCCCGCGCCCGCCGGUGCCACCGCCGGCCGUGCUUGUUCCGAGGCCGCGCAGACAAUGCGGCCGGGCUCGUCCCCGCGUGCCCCAGAGUGCGGAGCGCCCGCGCUCCCCCGACCCCAACUUGACCGUCUCCCGGCUCGCCCAGCCCCCUCCCGGGGUAGGGGCGCCCCCUCCCUCCGGUGGCCGGCGAAGGAAGUCGGUCCGCGGCCGCAGAUCCCGGCAACUUGCGAACCGGGAAAAGUUUGCGGCGCCUCCGCGGGGCGGCGCGACGCGGCCCGCCCCUCGCGUCCGCGGUCAUCGCGGGUGACUUUCUCGACUCGUCGUCAGCCGGGGCCGCAGCGCGGCCGGUGGGGACUGCGGGGCGGGCCGGAGUCCGUCCGAGGGCUCCCGCACCUCGGGCUGCGGAUUUCAGGUACUCCACUGGGCAUUUUCUCUUCAUGGAGCUUAUAGCAACAAAAGUGUUUUACAAAACACCAGACAUGUUGGCAUCAUCUCUUAGUUGGGCCAUGUGGCCAGGGAACCCUUCAUGAAACCACCUCUGCAGUCCUGGAGAGUUGCUGUAGAAGAAGGAAAAGAGAGGAAGACAACACAACACAGGAGGGGAUAAGUACCUCUGGACACAAUGGAAGUAGUAGUUGUUGAGCAGAGGGAAAGGGAUAGGAGAAGGAUGUGGACUGCAGUGCUGCAGUGCCAGGUAAUAACUUUGAUCAUGUACCUCCUUGGCUCAGGUGCUGUCUCUUCUACUCUCCUCCUUACUUGUACUACCUUAUUUAGCACUUAAUUAUAUACUUUCUUGACUCACUUUGAGACACACUGAUUAUGUGGUCUGCCUCAAAGACAGAAUCCUAGUUUUGGAUUUUAGCAUUACUGAUCUAUAGCCUUGCAGGGGCUUAAGGAUGGCAGCUGUCUCUCUCCCUUGGGAUCUAGCUUUUGCAAAUAUUGAAGGGAAGAGAUUUCUUUGAUCUUAUAGGAAUAGAUCCACAGUUCCUCUCCAGAUUUGCUUUUAUAGAGAAGUGUGUGUCACCAAAACAAUGGAGAUACGGUCAGAGAGGCCCCUACCCCCAGAAUUUUAAUAUAAUUUUACUUUCUGGGGCAUUUAUUCUUGACAAAUACUUUCUCUCCUAUCAGCUCACUUGUUCCUCACAAAAACCCUAUAAGAUAUUAAUAUUAUUAAACAGACCCCUAUGAAGCACCUCAAGUCUUUCUCUCUUCCCACUUCCAUUCUUGCACACCUUUUGCUAGACUAGUCUCUGCGUUCAUCACAUCAGGUUUCUAAAAUAAAAGUCCCCUAAUAACUUUCUAUUUGUUCUCUCAUCAUAUUGAACCUUUUUUGCCUGGCUUAUAAGGUGGCCUUAAAACCCCAUUUUCCUCUAAACAUUGUCUCUGUAGUUCAGGAAUAUGGCAGGCUCAACACUAUGCUUGAGCCCAUAUUGCUUCCCUCAUUAGUGAUGCCUCCUCUCAGACCACCCAGAUUCUACUCAUUCUUCAAUUUCCAGCUUCUCCUUGGAGCCUUCCCAGAUCAUUAGCUUCUUAAAAAUCCCAGCUUUCUCUGAAUUCUGAUGGUAGCCCCCGUUAUUUGGACAAUUAUGUCCUGGUCUUAAAGUCCUAAUGGGAAAAAAAAGUACAUGAUGGACUUCAUGUAGAGAAGAAAGCACUGGACUGAGUUUUAAGACAGCUGCUAAGGAGCUGUGUGAGCCAAACCAGGUUACUUUACCUCUCUGGAUCUAUAUUUGCUGAUCUGUUAAGUGGAGACAAUUGGGUCAGAUAAUCUUGGUGGUCUUUGCUUAUUCUGAGGUUCUUGGACAACUUGGCCUAGUUCACGUGGGAUGGGAUUGAAGAUCUUACUGAGUUCUUGGAUGGAAAUGUCAGUAAUGGGCACUUAGUGCCUUCAGGACUUGUUCUAUACUAUCCCAGAAAUUUCUGAUGCUAAACUUGGCAAUUUUUAAAUGUCAUAUUCCUUUUCUCCAAACUCUUUAACCACAAGAAUUCAGGGAAGGUUAUGGGGGGUGACUUAGUUAUCUGGAUAAUACAUAUUGUGGACAAUAUAGCAUUAUCCUUGGGAAUGAUUUCAUAUUGUUGAAUAAAUAGGAUCAACUUCUUGAUAAACCUUAGUCCCAAGCAUUUCAUCUUCAUUGGAUAGUGUUACAUAGUAAUAUAUUUAUGUUUUCUUUUAAUCAUUUCAUAACUUGGAAAAUACUAACAUAGUCAAAACUCUAGGGUAGGUGAUACAUGAGUUUCUGUAGUAAUCUGGUUGGAGACAUGUUGUAAUUCUGUAUAUAUAUGUACAUUUAUCCCAUGCAUGUUAUGCCUAAACUAAGACGGAUACCCCUGAAUUAAGAGGUGCUGUUAUACAUUGACCAGGCUUAAGAAUAUCUCUUUAAAGUGUGUCGACAUUUAAUUGACCUUUGGAAGUUCAUUCUGUUAAUCAUACUCAAAGUGCUAAAGCUAUGGUUGACUGCUCUGGUGUUUUUAUAUUCAUUCGUGCUUUAGCAUAUAAAUUCUUCAGCAUAAUUGCUACUUAUUUAGCAAGAGUUUCCUUUAUUUGAAAAUGUGAGUUGUGCUUGUAUUUUUGUGUCUUUCUUUCUUUCUUUCUUUUUUUAAACUUUGCUUCAGGCUGGGUAGUGGUAGAGGUUUGAAUUAAAAUGUUUUCCUGUCAGU